RNAcentral lists this ribosomal RNA (440 nucleotides) under uncultured bacterium. RNAcentral describes it as "partial 16S ribosomal RNA". It matches the Rfam family "Bacterial small subunit ribosomal RNA", at positions 339 to 795 of the family's 1533-position model. The record is from RNAcentral.
CUACGGGUCGCUGCAGUGAGGAAUAUUGCGCAAUGGGGGGAACCCUGAUGCAGCAACGCCGCGUGGAGGAUGACGCAUUUCGGUGUGUAAACUCCUUUUAUAUGUCAAGAAAAUGACGGUAGCAUAUGAAUAAGCACCGGCUAACUCCGUGGCCAGCAGCCGCGGUAAUACGGAGGGUGCAAGCGUUACUCGGAAUCACUGGGCGUAAAGGACGCGUAGGCGGGUUGGAAAGUCAGGUGUGAAAUCCUACAGCUUAACUGUAGAACUGCACUUGAAACUUCUAAUCUAGAGUAUGGGAGGGGGAGAUGGAAUUAGUGGUGUAGGGGUAAAAUCCGUAGAUAUCACUAGGAAUACCUAAAGCGAAGGCGAUCUCCUGGAACAUUACUGACGCUAAGGCGUGAAAGCGUGGGGAGCAAACAGGAUUAGAUACCCCUGUAGUC